CUGGGGAGUACGAUCGCAAGGUUGAAACUCAAAGGAAUUGACGGGGGCCCGCACAAGCGGAGGAACAUGUGGUUUAAUUCGAUGAUACGCGAGGAACCUUACCCGGGCUCGAACGGUGCAUGAAUGUCAGAGAGAUUUGACAGUCCUUCGGGACAUGUAUCGAGGUGCUGCAUGGUUGUCGUCAGCUCGUGCCGUGAGGUGUCGGCUUAAGUGCCAUAACGAGCGCAACCCUUGUUGACAGUUACCAUCAGGUAAAGCUGGGGACUCUGUCGAGACUGCCACCGUAAGGUGUGAGGAAGGGGGGGAUGACGUCAAAUCAGCACGGCCCUUAUGUCCGGGGCGACACACGUGUUACAAUGGGAGGUACAGAGAGCAGCUAUCCAGUGAUGGAGUGCAAAUCUCAAAAACCUUUCUCAGUUCGGAUUGGAGUCUGCAACUCGACUCCAUGAAGUUGGAUUCGCUAGUAAUCGCGCAUCAGCCAUGGCGCGGUGAAUACGUUCCCGGGCCUUGUACACACCGCCCGUCAAGCCAUGGAAGCUUGGGGUGCUUGAAGUUCGUGAC
Molecule: ribosomal RNA, 561 nt
Filed under: uncultured bacterium
Lineage: Bacteria
Description: bacterial SSU rRNA
Rfam family: Bacterial small subunit ribosomal RNA
Source: RNAcentral